AGCGAACGCUGGCGGUAUGCUUAACACAUGCAAGUCGGGCGCGAAAGUGACUUCGGUCAUGAGUAGAGCGGCGGACGGGUGAGUAACACGUGGAUAAUCUGCCUUUAGGACUGGGAUAACCCUGGGAAACUAGGGCUAAUACCGGAUAAGACCACAGGUUCCAUGGAACCAGGGGUAAAAGGCGGCCUUCGGGCUGUCGCCGAAAGAUGAGUCCGCGUCCCAUCAGGUAGUUGGUGAGGUAACGGCUCACCAAGCCGAAGACGGGUAGCCGACCUUAGCGGGUGAUCGGCCACACGGGGACUGAGACACGGCCCCGACUCCUACGGGAGGCA
RNAcentral lists this ribosomal RNA (332 nucleotides) under uncultured bacterium. RNAcentral's name for it is "bacterial SSU rRNA". It matches the Rfam family "Bacterial small subunit ribosomal RNA", at positions 29 to 350 of the family's 1533-position model. The record is from RNAcentral.